This 253-nucleotide ribosomal RNA is filed under the name uncultured bacterium. RNAcentral's name for it is "partial 16S ribosomal RNA". It matches the Rfam family "Bacterial small subunit ribosomal RNA", at positions 524 to 776 of the family's 1533-position model. The record is from RNAcentral.
UACGUAGGGCGCGAGCGUUAAUCGGAAUUACUGGGCGUAAAGCGUGCGCAGGCGGUUUUGUAAGCCAGAUGUGAAAGCCCCGGGCUUAACCUGGGAAUGGCAUUUGGGACUGCAAGGCUUGAGUGCGGCAGAGGAGACUGGAAUUCCUGGUGUAGCAGUGAAAUGCGUAGAUAUCAGGAGGAAUACCGAUGGCGAAGGCAGGUCUCUGGGCUGACACUGACGCUCAUGCACGAAAGCGUGGGGAGCAAACAGG